Cyprinus carpio carpio is the source of this 331-nucleotide long non-coding RNA. NCBI's taxonomy places the organism in Eukaryota, Metazoa, Chordata, Actinopteri, Cypriniformes, Cyprinidae. The record is from Ensembl.
GAAAUGACUGCAGAGAAGUCCACAGCAGCAUCCUGGAAAUGGUCCGGCGACACGGAUGAGACGCUCCAUCACUCCAGCUCAUCUGGACUGGAUGCUGCUGUGGUCUCCUCAUCCUCAGUGACCUCAGACACAGAGAGAGCAUCUAGAGAAAGACCAAAAGACACUGAGGAUGCGAAUUUUGGGGCCUACAAUCCCCUGAUCAACCUGAAGAAAAGAGUCUUGCUCAAGGACAUACUGGUGGUUUUGAACCAGCAACCUUCUGCUCACCACUUCAGUGGUUUAGCCCACUACAAAAGUAGCGGUGCUCAUGGAGAGCAGCACACGAAUGUUU